This 461-nucleotide ribosomal RNA is filed under the name uncultured bacterium. Its description in RNAcentral is "partial 16S ribosomal RNA". It matches the Rfam family "Bacterial small subunit ribosomal RNA", at positions 339 to 795 of the family's 1533-position model. The record is from RNAcentral.
CUACGGGGGGCACCAGUCGAGAAUCUUCCGCAAUGGACGAAAGUCUGACGGAGCGACGCCGCGUGCGGGAUGAAGGCCUUCGGGUUGUAAACCGCUGUCAGUGGGGAGGAAAUGCGCCAGGGUUUUCCCUGGUGUCUGACCGAUCCGCAGAGGAAGCGCAGGCUAAGUUCGUGCCAGCAGCCGCGGUAACACGAACUGCGCGAACGUUAUUCGGAAUCACUGGGCUUAAAGAGUUCGUAGGCGGCCUUUCAAGUCGGGUGUGAAAUCCCUCGGCUCAACCGAGGAAUUGCGCCUGAUACUGUUGGGCUUGAGGGGGAUAGGGGUGAGCGGAACUGAUGGUGGAGCGGUGAAAUGCGUUGAUAUCAUCAGGAACACCGGUGGCGAAGGCGGCUCACUGGAUCUCUUCUGACGCUGAGGAACGAAAGCUAGGGGAGCGAACGGGAUUAGAUACCCUCGUAGUC